CCUACGGGAGGCUGCAGUGAGGAAUAUUGGUCAAUGGGCGUAAGCCUGAACCAGCCAAGUAGCGUGAGGGAUGAAGGUUCUAUGGAUCGUAAACCUCUUUUAUACGGGAAUAAAGUGUGGGACGUGUCCUAUUUUGUAUGUACCUUAUGAAUAAGGAUCGGCUAACUCCGUGCCAGCAGCCGCGGUAAUACGGAGGAUCCGAGCGUUAUCCGGAUUUAUUGGGUUUAAAGGGUGCGUAGGCGGCCUUUUAAGUCAGCUGUGAAAGUCUGUGGCUCAACCAUAGAAUUGCCGUUGACACUGGGGGGCUUGAGUACGUUUGAGGCAGGCGGAAUGCGUGGUGUAGCGGUGAAAUGCUUAGAUAUCACGCAGAACCCCGAUUGCGAAGGCAGCCUGCCAAGCCAUGACUGACGCUGAUGCACGAAAGCGUGGGGAUCAAACAGGAUUAGAUACCCGGGUAGUC
RNAcentral lists this ribosomal RNA (460 nucleotides) under uncultured bacterium. RNAcentral's name for it is "partial 16S ribosomal RNA". It matches the Rfam family "Bacterial small subunit ribosomal RNA", at positions 338 to 795 of the family's 1533-position model. The record is from RNAcentral.